Molecule: long non-coding RNA, 206 nt
Organism: Arabidopsis thaliana (thale cress)
Lineage: Eukaryota; Viridiplantae; Streptophyta; Magnoliopsida; Brassicales; Brassicaceae
Product: other RNA
Exons: 1
Source: RefSeq
ACACAGCGCACAUCUGGUUCUAGAUUUCGAUUCAUCCGAAUACUACGGAGAUCUUGCAACAUUCUUUCGUUACGCUUCUUGAUUCCUUCUCUGAACAGAUUGCUACCUGUGCAGUCUGGAUUUUUAGUGGGUAGAGUCUGUCUGGAUUGUAUUCUGUGUUCCUUGCUUCUCAAGUACCCUGCACCUUGUGCCUGAACUGUUUGUGA